AAUGAAGUGCCUGAAAAAAAGGAUUAUUUUGAUAGAAUAAAAAAUGUAACUUAUUACCUUCAUUA
Molecule: transfer RNA, 65 nt
Filed under: Abia sp.
Lineage: Eukaryota; Metazoa; Arthropoda; Insecta; Hymenoptera; Cimbicidae
Description: tRNA-Ile
Source: RNAcentral